GAACACAAUUAGAGAAGCUUUGAUCUGGGAGGAGCGAGAACUUAUAUACAGAGGAGGCGGGGCUAAUGGCUCGUUCUGGGCAUGCUCAGUCUUCAUUUUCUUCCAGCAGUCGGCGAGGGAGGUUCCUUUGUUUGCAGCUCCCGGGGUGAUGUCCCAGAUGGCCUUCUGUUGUUCUGUUUUGUUUCCAGAGGGCCUCUGGUGGCUGGAAAAUGCCUGGGACGCUGCUCUGCUCGUCGUGGAGUCUCUGGAGUCGCGAGGAUCGGGGGAGAAGACACUGGAGGCUUGUCGGCCAUUUUCUCUGCCACUAUUGCCGGUGGAGCUGGGUUGCUCUGCGAGUCGCUCUUCGGUAGGAACACAAUUAGAGAAGCUUUGAUCUGGGAGGAGCGAGAACUUAUAUACAGAGGAGGCGGGGCUAAUGGUAAGUAGUAACCAAUGGUAAGUGACACAAUGACAUCACACAAUGACAUAU
Molecule: long non-coding RNA, 469 nt
Organism: Pantherophis guttatus
Lineage: Eukaryota; Metazoa; Chordata; Lepidosauria; Squamata; Colubridae
Source: RefSeq, a predicted model, not a curated record